CCCUGGGAUUGGCUGCGAUGAGAUCUAACCAGUUACAUUCCACAGAAUGGGCUAGAAUGACGGACCAGGCAACAGAAGGUGGACCAUCACAAGGCUCAUCGGUCUGACCUCAGUGGAGGCCCACGCUGGACAUCACACCAAAGUAAAGCUCCUAUACAUUUCACGAACAGAAAGAUCAACAGAGUUCUUUACCUGCAGAGUGAAGGACUUAGAACAAGAACCCUUCUAAUUCUAAACAUGCAGUGAUCCCCUGAAUCUCCAUUUUAACACCCACAUCCAUUCCAGGGCUGGUUAUUAAUGAUUUGGGGGUCACGGCUUUGCUAAGGAUCAGCAGCCAGGCCACUAGAGAGCUGGAAAACAAGUGGGACCCCACUGGGGUCAGUGGUGAGAGUCUGAAGAGAUGGACACGGGGGGAGGGAAAAGCUCUCCAGACAGGUUAAGUCCUUCAGAGCAAGCGAGCAAACCUCAACAGCUCUCUCAGCUGCCUUCCGAGUGCUGUGGAGGAAACUAAAGGGCCUCUCCCAGCUCUGAUCAAAUAUUGACCGCUGCACUCGCUGGCGGGGUUCAGACUGAAGGGCACCGUGGAGCCAAUGUUUGCCGAGAAAUUACUGCAGCCCAGCACCCCGCAGGCCAGGUUGUGAAAUGACCUGCCACGGGGCAGGCUUCAGAGAGCCUUCCGGUCCUUUCUCGGCGAGACUGGGUCAUGGAGCAGACACUUGAAUGAAGGGCCUGGCCAAGGAAGCUGACGGAACGGGGAAGCGCGGGCCAGCUGCCAGAGAAGGUGGCUUAAGAGGAGGACAUCUGUGGCCCCCGCCAGCUGCCUUAACUCACCUCCAAGCAAGCCAGCCCUUUACAGCCAGACAGGCUUCAACGUUAGACCCGUCCUGGCUGGCUCCUCUGGGACAGGCCCCUCCUGCCACACACACACAGGGCUGGGUGGUGACUUGUUUUUAGAAGACCAACAAAGAGCCUCACUUCUUCCUUGUUCUCAGCUUGACACGUGAAAGGCUCUUGAGCUGACCCAGUUUCCAGAAGAGGUGUUUGGAUGAGCUGUUCAGCUGAAACGCUCUGUCAGUAGGGCCGAUCCUGCAAGAACACGGUCUCCUUCUCCUUGCUGGAGCCCCAGAAUUUUUAGGAGGUGACUUGCAGAAGGGUGGAAGGAUGCAGGGCACUCUGGGGUGGGUGUAAAGCCAGGCUGAGCUUGUGUGUCAGAGGCCCGUGGCGGCACAGUGUGACAUACCCUCUGUGAUGGCCGAAUGGCCUGUCUGCUCGGUACACACCCAAGCUAGUGACAGGGCAACUAUGACUGAGGGACUAAACACUUAACGUUUGAAAUUUAAUUUUUAAAUGUUAAAAUUAUAUGUAAACAGCCACAUGUGGCUAGUGGCUACAGCAUCGGCCCACACAACACUAAAGCCUUGGCAGGGGGUGCUUCCCCGGGGCCUGUGUAACAUGCAUGCAUUUGUCUGGGGAGAGGCGUUUGCUUUCCCUGAAACAAUCACUGGUCUCAAAAGUAAAAUUAGAUGGAAUAACUCAUCCAUCUGUUACUUCUUCAAGCAGUCUGUCCCAUCCCAGAGUGUAAGGUUUCCUCGUCACAGGUUCAUGGCACCUCUGGAAGAGCAGAACAUAUUAACUGUUUGGCUUUUUAAAAGUAGAAGCUGUAACUCCCACGAAAACAGGAACCAGAUCUGAGUUUGCUCAUUACUGUAUCCCCAGAGUCUAGCCCACUGCUCAGGACAGAGGAGGCAGACAUUUACCACUGGAUGCAUGGAAAGAAGGAUUGAAGAGAGGGAGGAGGGAAGCAGAAAUAAAUGAAUAAAUGAACUAACAAAUAAAUUAGAGACACAUUUAACCGCAAUAAUUGUGAUUCUCAAAAAACAACCAAAUCCC
RNAcentral lists this long non-coding RNA (1890 nucleotides) under Heterocephalus glaber (naked mole-rat). Its description in RNAcentral is "lncRNA (ENSHGLG00100043702.1)". Lineage: Eukaryota; Metazoa; Chordata; Mammalia; Rodentia; Bathyergidae. The record is from RNAcentral.